RNAcentral lists this ribosomal RNA (640 nucleotides) under uncultured archaeon. RNAcentral describes it as "bacterial SSU rRNA". It matches the Rfam family "Archaeal small subunit ribosomal RNA", at positions 1 to 628 of the family's 1478-position model. The record is from RNAcentral.
CGCCCUUUUCCGGUUGAUCCUGCCGGAGGCUACUGCCAUCAGAGUUCGAUUAAGCCAUGUUAGUCGAGGGUGCUUCUUCUUCGGAAGAAGUAACCCGGCGGACGGCUCAGUAACACGUGGAUAACUUGCCCUUGGGUCUGGGAUAACCCCUGAGAAAUUGGGGACAAUACCGGAUAGGGCAUCGAUAGCUGGAAUGCGCGAUGUCCAAAAGCUGAGGCGCCCAAGGAUAGGUCUGCGGCCGAUUAGGUUGUUGUUGAUGUAAUGGAUCAACAAGCCUGCAAUCGGUACGGGUUGUGAGAGCAAGAGCCCGGAGAUGGGUUCUGAGAAAAGAACCCAGGUCCUACGGGACGCAUCAGGCGCGAAAACUUUACAAUGUGCGAAAGCACGAUAAGGGAACUCUGAGUGCCUCCUAUGGAGGCUGUUCAGGUGUCUAAAAAGCACUUGAAGUAAGGGCUGGGUAAGACCGGUGCCAGCCGCCGCGGUAACACCGGCAGCCCAAGUGGUAGCCACGAUUAUUGGGUCUAAAGCGUCCGUAGCCGGCCAGGUAAGUUCUUUGGGAAAUUUAACCGCUCAACGGUUAAGCUUUCAGGGAAUACUGCUUGGCUUGGGACCGGGAGAGGUCAGAGGUACUUCAAGGGUA